Long non-coding RNA from Chiroxiphia lanceolata (lance-tailed manakin), 1200 nucleotides. RefSeq lists it as uncharacterized. The transcript is spliced from 4 exons. The record is from RefSeq and is a predicted model, not a curated record. NCBI's taxonomy places the organism in Eukaryota, Metazoa, Chordata, Aves, Passeriformes, Pipridae.
CUACUAGCUCCAAAAUCCAUGGCAGUUGAGCCCAUACAGCAAUCUGCUUUCAAUUUUCUCACGAGCAUUCCUGGUUUUGCUUUUCAGCCUUUGGGAAUGUUAGGGACCAGCUUUCCUUUUCCUCUCUAAAACGAAUGUCAGCAGUCAAGAUCCAUAAACUCACUUGAAAAGUAAAAACAAGUGCUGACUUAGCCACAGGGAGUUGAAACUAGGUUGCUCCCAUAACAGGUUUGCGUAGAAAUAACUGCUAUGAUAGCUGGGAGGAUCUUGUCUGUCUGAAGAGCCUAACCUUUUGACUAUUUUGCUCUGGGCAAAAGUGAAAUGUUGCAUUCUUCAAAUCCACUUGCUAUGACUUGAACAGUGGAUCACUCUUCAAGCAGAAGAAAUUUUUUGAGAUUAUCUUCAGGAGACUGACCAUUUCAGUAGCCCCUUUACACAGAUGGAUACCUGUGUUAAUGGUGAUAUUAAUUUUUCGACCUCAGGAGAAGACUAUCCUUAUUUUCUCAAUGUCUUUCUUACACCAGAACAUCUAUGACACCCAUGUGCACACUUUAAUCACAAGUUAAGAGCGUAAGUAAGAGUGUUCUUUUCUCAGGGAUUGGAUCCAAGCCUGACUCUUUUGAAGACCUAAAUAGAAUUUGACAUCCAACCUGAGUUCUGUAAAAACCUACCUUACAAACUGCAGUUAAUACCCCACACAAGCAACUGGAUAAACCAGAACAGGCUUACUAAAUUUAAAAAAAUAUAAAAAAAAUUAGAAAUAUUAAAAAUAUGCAAGAUGUCAAAAUUUUAUUUUCAGAGGCAAACAUUUUUUACUAAGAAUCGAUGAGUUCUGGAAACAUAGAUGAAACAACUUUUUGGUUAGGUUAAGCACUUUAAGGCAAUACAGAUAGGACUGUGAAUCAUUUAUAUAGUGCAAAUAUUUUUUUCAGGCUAAUCCCAGUUUUUUAUUUUUUCUUUAAGAACUCAUCAGUUAUUCCACUGAAUUAUGCCAAAGUCCUCCUUAAUCCAGCAUUUCCUUAACUUUUCCUUAACCCACCUUGUCUCAUUCAGAUCAGUGGUGUUGCCUAAAGAGAGGCUGCAGAGAAAAAGAGGCCAAGAUAAGAUAAAGAGAGUAGGCCCUUUAAUCAGCCUACAGGCCCAGGGAAUACACAUAAUGUGUACGUGUCCAUACACUGGUUCUAUGAUUUUAUAAUAAGG